This 253-nucleotide ribosomal RNA is filed under the name uncultured bacterium. RNAcentral's name for it is "partial 16S ribosomal RNA". It matches the Rfam family "Bacterial small subunit ribosomal RNA", at positions 524 to 776 of the family's 1533-position model. The record is from RNAcentral.
UACGAAGGGGGCUAGCGUUGCUCGGAAUCACUGGGCGUAAAGCGCACGUAGGCGGAUUGUUAAGUCAGGGGUGAAAUCCUGGAGCUCGACUCCAGAACUGCCUUUGAUACUGGCGAUCUUGAGUCCGGGAGAGGUGAGUGGAACUCCGAGUGUAGAGGUGAAAUUCGUAGAUAUUCGGAAGAACACCAGUGGCGAAGGCGGCUCACUGGCCCGGUACUGACGCUGAGGUGCGAAAGCGUGGGGAGCAAACAGG